GGAGGAUCCGAGCGUUAUCCGGAUUUAUUGGGUUUAAAGGGAGCGUAGAUGGAUGUUUAAGUCAGUUGUGAAAGUUUGCGGCUCAACCGUAAAAUUGCAGUUGAUACUGAUAUCUUGAGUGCAGUUGAGGUAGGCGGAAUUCGUGGUGUAGCGGUGAAAUGCUUAGAUAUCACGAAGAACUCCGAUUGCGAAGGCAGCUUACUAACCUGUAACUGACAUUGAUGCUCGAAAGUGUGGGUAUCAAACAGGAUUAGAUACCCUGGUAGUCCACACGGUAAACGAUGAAUACUCGCUGUAGGCGAUAUACAGUCUGCGGCCAAGCGAAAGCAUUAAGUAUUCCACCUGGGGAGUACGCCGGCAACGGUGAAACUCAAAGGA
RNAcentral lists this ribosomal RNA (378 nucleotides) under uncultured bacterium. Its description in RNAcentral is "bacterial SSU rRNA". It matches the Rfam family "Bacterial small subunit ribosomal RNA", at positions 527 to 908 of the family's 1533-position model. The record is from RNAcentral.